Molecule: long non-coding RNA, 2248 nt
Filed under: Cricetulus griseus (Chinese hamster)
Lineage: Eukaryota; Metazoa; Chordata; Mammalia; Rodentia; Cricetidae
Description: lncRNA (ENSCGRG00015032668.1)
Source: RNAcentral
GAGCCACCAGAGAGAGGUCAUGUAGCAGCCGAGAAGAUAGGAUUGCCAGCAUUCUCCGAUCUCUACAUGUUUGAAGAUGAUGUGUGUAUAUAAAAUAUAUAGCUGUUUGACCUUGAAAGCACACCUAAUAUGACUACAAGUUCAAUUGUAAUAGAAAGAUGUAUUUCUACAAUUUUUAAUCAUGGAGAAUUUGGGACUCAAAAGAAAACUUACUACGUAUAUGUACCAGAUGCCAAAUCUGAUGACCAUGAUUUUUGUCUCUGGGACCCACAUGGUGAAAAGUCCAUGCCAAGAAUUUGUCCUCUUAACUUUAUGAGCACAUUACAUAGAAAUCCCCUCCAUGAUGCAACUUUCCUGGGAAGCACAGAAGUGUUGACUCUAUUGACAGAGAUAGAGAUAAGUUUUGGAGAGCUGCCCCAAUACCAAUCGGUCAUGUGGCAGCAUUGGGGGAGAAGAGUUGCCCCUCACCCAUGAAUGCCUGAGGCAGAUGGAAGAGCUGGUCCUGAAGUAAUGAAAGCAUGAGAGCUGGUCUGCCCCUCAGCAGGAGCAGCACUUGGGACCCAUACACCUGAUUGGGCCACAGAGUAGAGCUGGCCCUGAAGGUGGAAGUGUGGGAUAACUAAUCCUGAGAACAUAUAUGCCUAAGAACUUGCUCUAACCCUUACUCAUUGCUGCAAGGAGCAACCUAACCUGGGUAAUAUUGGAGAGCCAACCUUGGUGGUGUUGAAGACAGGGUUGAGCUGGUGGACUGGUCAAUCCUGCAACUAUUCAAGUCUAGAGAACCACGGCUGUGUGUUGGCCUACACCAACAUCCACCCCAUUUGUGAUCUGCUGGAGUGUGGAGUAGAGUUGGUCCUUCAGACCCAAGGCUGCAGGAUCUCCAAAACACAGAGCAACAACAGGAUGUCUAGGAAGACUCCAAUUUCCCAGUGAGGGUCCAUCAUUGAUGGUAUAGAAGAGACCAGGGGCUAUGAACCAGACCAAUGAUUCUUUGAGAUGAAUGCCUGAAUGUAAAAAUAUAGGAAUAAAUGGGUUUACUCUGUUAUUCACUGUGUCACAUUGCAACUUUCAUCACAAAAAAUUUCCCCUUCUACACUUUUCCCCUUUUUCUCUUAAAUUCUAUUUUGGGGGUGGAGAUGGGUGGUAUCAGGAGGCAUAAUAUGAAAGGCAUAAACAAAAGUAUGAUGAAAUCUUAAAAAAGGAAAUUUUCUCCAUUAUAAAGCCUCUGUCUUGGAAGGAAGGUCAUUAAGCCAGACAGCAAUGAAGAUGGAGGUUUCUGUUCUGCCUGGUCCCUCAGUUGAUUAGCCCCAAAUAAGCACACAAAGACAUAAUAAUUACUAAACUUUUAGCCAAUAGCUUAUACUUCUUAUUGGCCAGCUCUCUCUUAAUUAUUAACCCAUUUCCAUUACUCUAUAUAUUGCCAUGAGGCUGUGGCUUUCCUAUAAUCCAGCCAAGUUACUCCUUCAGCAGCAUGGCAUCUCUCCUCAAGGCCUCUCUCUCCCCUCUUCCCAGUCUUCUCCUCAUCUUGUAGCUCCACCUAUACUUUCUGGCUAACUAAUGAACAAUCAGUGUUUUAUUCAUCCACCAAUAAGAUAUAAUAUAUAUAUAUGGACAUCCCCCAUCACAGGAAUUCUAUACCACAAGAAAGCUCAUUAAGACACAGAAUAUUUUAAAGGAGGGGAGUAAAAACCUUCCACCAUGCAAAGACUAUCCAUAAACUCAUGAAGUAAACAACUUGAAAGUGACAGGAACUUCUGAAGUUGCACAGAUUCCUAAGAACCUUCUCUUCAAAAGACCAUAUAAAUGUUAUGGACAAGCUGAACUGCACAGAAAAGACACAGAGCAGAAAGGUCACAUAUGAGGAACAGAGAUCAACUAAGCAUGGAAGAAGCAGAGACCAGUUAAUCUUUUAAGAAGAUGCAGACACAUGAUGAACUGCAUAGAAGAAUCUCAGAUAAGCUGAGCUACCUGAAAGAAACAAAAGAACUAAGCUUCCUGAAAGGAGCAGAGACCAGCCAAGUAGCCAGAAAAAUAAAGACUAAUUGAGCUUCAUGGAAAGUACAUUUUCCAACCCAAGAACCUCCUGGAAGUUUUGAAGUAUGCUCCAGUUUUCCAUAUUUCAUUAGUAGGCACCCAGACUUGGAAGGGAUUUUGGAGAGGCAGCCUUCUUGAAACAACAUCUGUUCCUAUGAGUGACUACACACCCACAUUUCUAUAUGAAACUCAAAUAAAACUCACUUGCUCACUU